CUGCACGGCUUAGUGCUUGACCUUUGUUUUAAAAAACGGACUAGACAGUGUCUCUUUUCAGUUGAUUUCAGGAAGGAGUUACACUAGUCCAAGUCAAGAAGGGACCCCAAGUCACAGGAACAAUGCAUGCUGAAAUCCGAGAGCUGUGCUGAGCUAGUCCCGCCCCUCACUGGCCCUGGGAUAACUGGCCCUGCCCCUCAGUGGACUGCACAGCAGGAGAGAUGGCCUCACCCACCAUGGAAGAGCCCCCCCUCCCCAGCCCUCGGGAGAGAUGGCCCCACCCGUCAUCACAGGCUUGGGAGAGCUGGCCAGGAUAGCACUGGCUUAGGAGAGCUGUCUCUGCCCCUCGCCUGAGGGGGUGCGGUCCCAGUGGCAGAGACGACCAGCUCAGCUACCACCCAGAUCCACAUCUUGAGCUUUGGGUUGGCUCACCCUAACAUCUACCCCAUCUAUGACCUGCUGGAGUGAGGGAAGGGACUGGUCCUGUGGAACGAUAACCAUAAGAUCUCUAUCACUCAGGCAACUCAGCAGGUUAUCCAAGAGGAGUUUUGGUGAGGGUCCAGUGAUGAUGGUGUGCCAGAGGCCUUAAACCAAACCAGUGACUCGUUUUACAGGUUGGGCUGAUUGGACAAAAGGGUAUACUGCAUGACACCCUGCAGCUCCUGAUGCCACCAGGAUGAAUGAAGAGCUGUUGGAAAGACGGAGGAGGAUAGGAAGAAAGAAGGUUUUCAGAGGGAAUGGAAGGAGGAUAGCAGAGUAUAAUGGAGGGGCGAUGUAUAGAAAAGAUGAUGCAAGCCCAUCAGUGCCUGAAAGUCAGCAUCUAAUGGUAAAAGCAAUGCAAUCUUUUUCUAGCCUUCAUCCAGUGGCUGAUGGAAGCAGAGGCAGACAUCCACAGAUAUACACUGAACUGAACUCUGGAACUUAGUUGCAGAGAGGGAGGAAUGAAGAGUGAAGGGGUUGGUACCAGGCUGGAGAAACCUGCAGAAACAGCUGGCCUGAACAAGGGAGAGCACAUGGACCCCAGAUGCUGUCUGGGAGGCUAGUACAAGACUGAUCCAGACCCCUGAACAUGGAUGUCAAUGAGGAGGCCUCUGCAUUUCAGGGGGCCCUGGUAGUGGAUUAGUAUUUUUCCCUGGUGUAAGAAGGGACUUCGAGAGCCCAUCCCACAUGAAAGGAUACACUCUGGCUCUGGACACAUGGGGAAGGGCCUAGGCCCAGCCCAGGAAGAUGUAGUAGACUUUGAGGAGCCCCUGUGGCAGGCCCUAUCCUGCCUGGGGAGUGGAAGGUGGAUGAGGUGGG
RNAcentral lists this long non-coding RNA (1299 nucleotides) under Cricetulus griseus (Chinese hamster). Its description in RNAcentral is "lncRNA (ENSCGRG00015029416.1)". Lineage: Eukaryota; Metazoa; Chordata; Mammalia; Rodentia; Cricetidae. The record is from RNAcentral.